CCCGCUGAACUUAAGCAUAUCACUAAGCGGAGGAAAAGAAAUUAACUAAGAUUGCCUCAGUAACGGCGAGUGAAGCGGCAAGAGCCCAAAAUGUAAAUCUUCACGCUGCGCGUGACGAAUUGUAAUCUAAAGAUGGUUCUCUCACCGGGUGGUGGCGCAGAAGUGCCUUAGAACGGGCCGCCAGAGAGGGUGACAGCCCCGUAUGUGGUGCCACUACCUAACGAGAGGGUUAUCGAAGAGUCGGGUUGUUUUGUAUUGCAGCCCUAAGUGGGAGAUAAACUUCUUCUAAGGCUAAAUAUCUAUGGGAAACCGAUAGCGAACAAGUACUGUGAAGGAAAGAUGAAAAGAACUUUGAAAAGAGAGUCAAAAGACUUGAAAUCGUUGAGAAGGAAGCGGUAGAAGUUUAUUCUUCGGCGGAGGACGGUGGCGGCUGCCUAACCAUUGCUGGGCGUCAGAUCUGCAAAGGCUGUGUCUAGCACUUGGGGAAGCGGCCGCUUUGCCCUCCGUCGUGAGGCGAGAUGGGGUCGUGUUCCCGCAGAGGCUUCUCCAGCCUGGCCUGAUUCGUCAGGCAGCUGGAGUCUGCUGGCGGGCGCGCGGCCCGAGGGUGCUUCGUGCGAUCUUGCCAAAAUGGCUUUUACCGGCCCGUCUUGAAACACGG
Molecule: ribosomal RNA, 658 nt
Filed under: uncultured fungus
Lineage: Eukaryota; Fungi
Description: eukaryotic LSU rRNA
Rfam family: Eukaryotic large subunit ribosomal RNA
Source: RNAcentral